This is a long non-coding RNA of Sander lucioperca (pikeperch), 2534 nucleotides long. RefSeq lists it as uncharacterized. Lineage: Eukaryota; Metazoa; Chordata; Actinopteri; Perciformes; Percidae. The record is from RefSeq and is a predicted model, not a curated record. The transcript has 3 exons.
UGCAGCAGAACUGUCUCAUCCUGCAGAAGUCAUGAUGUGAAGGGUGUAAUGCAGAACUGGGAGGCUUUGCUGGGCUGUUUGACCUGGGGGCAGCAGGUUUUGUCGCCCCGAUCCUGGGACAGACGGAGUGGGGACCAAACUCAACCUUUUUGGAGGAGAAAGAUCUGUCUAUCAAUCUUCAUGUCCACUGUUUGCCACGAGUCGUGGAACAAAUAAGAAUCAAAUGAAAGUACUAAAUACCUUGACUCAAAUUUAGUUUUGACAGAUACCAAAUCGGCCAAGUAAUAACUAUACAAAAUUGGAUCCAAAUUUGGCUCAGAAGUUUCAGCCGAAACCUUUUCAAAUCUCCGGUAAAAUAUCAUUCAGAUGAAACUCUUCUCUGUUUGCAGUUUUAUUUUGUCUGUAGGCAUGGAAAUGUGUCUUGCAAUACAAGACUGGGAACAAAUGAAUGUUCUAUCUGCGAUCUGGGACCCUAUAGCGCCUCCCGGGGGGCAUGAGUUGGUACUGGAUUUUGUCUGCCAGUGUGACGUUGCGCAAUACGUCACUUUCAGUGAAAGUGUUCUCCACUGAAUGGCUCACCAAUAUGGAACGUGGAAGUGGAGCGCGGGGCCCAGCUGCCCAGGCUCGGGGACAUCGCCGAGGGGGACCUGCUGAUCGGACUGGUCUCCUCUGGGGUCCCCAGCAACGGCUUCAGCCUGGUCCGCAAACUCCUGGAGAGGGCCAACCGGAGCUACAGCGCCCCUGCUCCCUUUUGGCAAGUCAGGACAGACUGUCGGUAAGUCAUCUUUUCAGUCACAAGAUGGACCUGAGUGUACUUUUAAUGUAUUUGUGUGUGGUAACACGUUUAGACUUUCCCAAACAAUUGGUAGCAUUCGUUGCAGUUUUACUGUUUUGGUACAACAUUAAGACAACAUUUUCUCUGAGCCCUGGUGCUUCCUGCCAUUCUUUGGCCAAUGGAUUUACCCUCCAUUUGCCAUAAUGUCUGUUUUUGCUGAGAAAUAAUCCAGCCAUGAAAUUUGGUGGUAAAGAAUAAUUAUUUAACGUGUUGUAACCCUACCCAAAUGUGAGGACUUUCUGUUUUUAUAUCAUAGUAAACUGAAUAUAUUUAGGUUGUGGACUGUAAAAAAACAAAACACAGACAUUGAGACAUUCAUGCAUUUUUCACAUUUUUCUGACAUUUUACAGUGCAAAUGAUUAAUUGAGAAAAUAAUCAGCAGAUUAAUGGAUAAUGAAAGUUAUUUUUAAGUUGCAUUCCUAAAUUAUUUAGGUGUAACAUCCCUCAGGUGUUGUCCCAGGGGCUGGCAGUGGAUUUAGGUGCUAGGGGUGGGAAUCUCCAGAGGCCUCACGAUCCGAUAUCAUCACGAUACUUAUGUCACGAUUCGAUAUUAUUGCGAUUUUAAACAUAUUGCAAUAUUCUGCGAUAUAUUGCAAUUUAUUACCUUUUUUCCAACUUCAAAUUUUUCCAAAUUUCAAAUGAUGUGCCCAAAAGGAAACUUUGUCAACAUCUGUUUUAUCUCAAAAGAUCAAUUUCUCUGUUGGUUCAUCUCACUUCAGUUUUAUUGCUACAAAAUGGGACCAACACAUAUGUAAUAAAAGAUUGAUACUUGGCAUCUGUAUCGAUACAGUGUUGCCAUGGAAAAUAUCGCGAUACUAUGCUGUAUCGAUUCCCCCCCCCACCCCUAUGUUGAACGCACGCGGACACUUGAUUUUCAAAUGAAGCAUGUUUUAGCAAUCUGGAAGGGUGGUGUGCCUCUGGAUGAAGCUGCAUUUGCAUUUUGGAAAUCAGUUACCUUUUUUAUGAUGACCUAGUGUGAGGCAGCGAAAAAAAGUGUUUCCUGUGGAAACCUAGUAGGAUAACCGCUGUGCACAUUGUAAACAUAAAUAAGCAGCCUUCUUUUCAUAUUCAGCACAGUUCCCCCCUCUUGAAAAUGUAGUGGUCUCUUUGUAGUUCUUGGUUCUCGUGCAUAUUUCCCUCCUUCACUCAGAUGUGUCUCGAUGGAGCAUCCCCCCAGUGUUUUCCUGGCUCCAAAAGGAGGGGGGGUCUGAGUGAGGAGGAGAUGUCCCGCACCUUCAACUGAGGCCUGGGGGCGGUGCUGGUGGUUCCCCCCCUGGCUGCUCAGAGGGUCUUACGCCAGCUUCGAGCACAUGAAGAGGCCUGGAUCGUGGGUUGACUGGCCCAGGCUGGGGUACGGGCCGCUGGCUGCACGGUCCAUUUUGUUGCAGAAGAAGUGGAUGCAGGAGCCAUCAUCAUGCAGGAGGCGGUGCCAGUGCUGGUCAGCGACCCAGAGGAGAGUCUGUCGGACAGAAUCAGGAAGGCAGAGCACCGAGCCUUCCCCGCUGCUCUGGAGCUGGUGGCCAGCGCCUUCACUUCAUUCAUGCCUUCUUCAGACUGUACUCACAGUAUACUCAUAGCAUUGUAUGUCAUGAUUUUUGUGCGUAAAAAAACCAUAGUAUAGUAUGUCAAAAAAAGUGAUAUAAAGACACAGUAUAGUAUGUUGAAAAAAGUGAUAAAAAUCCGUAGUAUAGUAUGUGGA